This 468-nucleotide ribosomal RNA is filed under the name uncultured bacterium. Its description in RNAcentral is "partial 16S ribosomal RNA". It matches the Rfam family "Bacterial small subunit ribosomal RNA", at positions 28 to 507 of the family's 1533-position model. The record is from RNAcentral.
GACGAACGCUGGCGGCGUGCUUAACACAUGCAAGUCGAACGGAAAGGCCCUGCUUUUGUGGGUUGCUCGAGUGGCGAACGGGGGAGUAACACGUGAGUAACCUGCCCUUGACUUUGGGAUAACUUCAGGAAACUGGGGCUAAUACCGGAUAGGAGCUCCUGCUGCAUGGUGGGGGUUGGAAAGUUUCGGCGGUGGGGGACGGACUCGCGGCUUAUCAGCUUGUUGGUGGGGUAGUGGCUUACCAAGGCUUUGACGGGUAGCCGGCCUGAGAGGGUGACCGGCCACAUUGGGACUGAGAUACGGCCCAGACUCCUACGGGAGGCAGCAGUGGGGAAUAUUGCACAAUGGGCGGAAGCCUGAUGCAGCAACGCCGCGUGCGGGAUGACGGCCUUCGGGUUGUAAACCGCUUUCGCCUGUGACGAAGCGUGAGUGACGGUAAUGGGUAAAGAAGCACCGGCUAACUACGUG